GAUGAACGCUGGCGGCGUGCCUAAUACAUGCAAGUCGAGCGAACAGACGAGGAGCUUGCUCCUCUGACGUUAGCGGCGGACGGGUGAGUAACACGUGGAUAACCUACCUAUAAGACUGGGAUAACUUCGGGAAACCGGAGCUAAUACCGGAUAAUAUAUUGAACCGCAUGGUUCAAUAGUGAAUGACGGUUUUGCUGUCACUUAUAGAUGGAUCCGCGCCGCAUUAGCUAGUUGGUAAGGUAACGGCUUACCAAGGCGACGAUGCGUAGCCGACCUGAGAGGGUGAUCGGCCACACCGGAACUGAGACACGGUCCAGACUCCUACGGGAGGCAGCAGUAGGGAAUCUUCCGCAAUGGGCGAAAGCCUGACGGAGCAACGCCGCGUGAGUGAUGAAGGUCUUCGGAUCGUAAAACUCUGUUAUUAGGGAAGAACAAAUGUGUAAGUAACUAUGCACGUCUUGACGGUACCUAAUCAGAAAGCCACGGCUAACUACGUG
Molecule: ribosomal RNA, 497 nt
Filed under: uncultured bacterium
Lineage: Bacteria
Description: partial 16S ribosomal RNA
Rfam family: Bacterial small subunit ribosomal RNA
Source: RNAcentral